UAGUCCACGCCCUAAACGAUGCACAUUUGGUAUCGGCUUGUUGGAGUCGGUGCCGGAGCUAACGCGUUAAGUAGACCGCCUGGGGAGUACGGUCGCAAGAUUAAAACUCAAAUGAAUUGACGGGGGCCCGCACAAGCGGUGGAGCAUGUGGUUUAAUUCGAUGCAACGCGAAGAACCUUACCUACUCUUGACAUCCAGAGAAGCCUGAAGAGAUUCGGGUGUGCCUUCGGGAACUCUGAGACAGGUGCUGCAUGGCUGUCGUCAGCUCGUGUUGUGAAAUGUUGGGUUAAGUCCCGCAACGAGCGCAACCCUUAUCCUUGUUUGCCAGCACAUAAUGGUGGGAACUCCAGGGAGACUGCCGGUGAUAAACCGGGAGGAAGGUGGGGACGACGGUCAAGUCAUCAUGGCCCUUACGAGUAGGGGCUACACACGUGCUACAAUGGCGUAUACAGAGGGCUGCCAACUCGCGAGAGUGAGCGAAUCCCAGAAA
RNAcentral lists this ribosomal RNA (490 nucleotides) under uncultured bacterium. RNAcentral's name for it is "bacterial SSU rRNA". It matches the Rfam family "Bacterial small subunit ribosomal RNA", at positions 791 to 1280 of the family's 1533-position model. The record is from RNAcentral.